GACGAACGCUGGCGGCGUGCUUAACACAUGCAAGUCGAACGCUGAAGCUUGGUGCUUGCACUGGGUGGAUGAGUGGCGAACGGGUGAGUAAUACGUGAGUAACCUGCCCUUGACUCUGGGAUAAGCCUGGGAAACUGGGUCUAAUACUGGAUACGACAUGUCACCGUAGGGUGGUGUGUGGAAAGGGUUUUACUGGUUUUGGAUGGGCUCACGGCCUAUCAGCUUGUUGGUGGGGUAAUGGCUCACCAAGGCGACGACGGGUAGCCGGCCUGAGAGGGUGACCGGCCACACUGGGACUGAGACACGGCCCAGACUCCUACGGGAGGCAGCAGUGGGGAAUAUUGCACAAUGGGCGGAAGCCUGAUGCAGCGACGCCGCGUGAGGGAUGACGGCCUUCGGGUUGUAAACCUCUUUCAGCACGGAAGAAGCGAAAGUGACGGUACGUGCAGAAGAAGCGCCGGCUAACUACGUG
RNAcentral lists this ribosomal RNA (472 nucleotides) under uncultured bacterium. RNAcentral's name for it is "partial 16S ribosomal RNA". It matches the Rfam family "Bacterial small subunit ribosomal RNA", at positions 28 to 507 of the family's 1533-position model. The record is from RNAcentral.